Erpetoichthys calabaricus (reedfish) is the source of this 1119-nucleotide long non-coding RNA. RefSeq lists it as uncharacterized. NCBI's taxonomy places the organism in Eukaryota, Metazoa, Chordata, Cladistia, Polypteriformes, Polypteridae. The record is from RefSeq and is a predicted model, not a curated record. The transcript is spliced from 2 exons.
AGAUAUGUGAAAGGCACUAUAUGAUAGAUAGAUAGAUAGAUAGAUAGAUAGAUAGAUAGAUAGAUAGAUAGAUAGAUAGAUAGAUAGAUAGAUAGAUAGAUAGAUAGAUAUGUGAAAGGCACUAUAUGAUAGAUAGAUAGAUAGAUAGAUAGAUAUAUAGAUAGAUAGAUAGAUAGAUAGAUGUGAAAGGCGCUAUAUAAAAUAGAAUCAAAGGCUUCAGUUUUGGAGUCCAAGCUCUUAAGGAAAUACAACUUGAGCUGCCAAUUUUUCCCUAACAGAAAUUCUGGGAAUCCGCGUGAAAUCGACUCUGAGUCCCCAUCCAACUUGGCCAGUGCUUUCACUUCCACAGCCAAAAGUCAUUUGGGGAAAUGUGGGACCCCCGUUUACAGCCUAGAAGCGCACAGAAAAGGCAGGCCAGUGGUGCUCAGAGCUGCCAGGCUCAAAUGCCAGGCCAGUCCAUCCCUAACUUUGCCCACCAGCCACAUCCCCCAGCCGUCCAUCUUGAGGCGCACUGGUCACUCCGCUGGCUCCCAGGUGGGCUCAGGAAACAGAAGGAUGGAAUUCCGGAUUGUGAACGCUCAGCUCAGCUGGAGUGAAACCCGACAGCCUCCCCGGUGGCGCCUGCCCGCAUCACUGACGUCAUUUUAAAGACUUUAGUGACAAGCAAAAACGUUUCGUGUCGUGUGUACCGUGACGAGUCCCCAUCUGCCUCCGCGUUCUGUGUGUGUGUCGUGUAAGGACACCUCCAAAGCCAUAGCAUUUGUGUCUGUUUCAGUUUGUCGUCUUCACUCCCGUUUUACGUCUUUCUUCAUUUCAGGGGGCUCUCUUUGUUUGUUCUCCCCGUGCGCUCGUCACCGUCUUGAGGCUCUCGAUGUCACCGUGGCCACCUGGCGAUGAAGGAGCCGCGCCGCGUCGCCUCUUUGUGUUUGGACCGUUUCUUACGUUUGGGGACGAAUCCCAGUAAAUGUGCUGUCGUCCUGUUCGGUGUCUCGUCUUAAUGAUGUGGUGGCGAAGGAACUCAACGCCAAUUUGCUGAUCGACCUUCAUGUUCUGCUCACUUUAGAGAAGCACACUCUUAGACUUUUUUUUUAAUAAAAUAAAGAUAUUGUAUCAAGUGAA